AGAGUUUGAUCAUGGCUCAGAACGAACGCUGGCGGCGUGCCUAACACAUGCAAGUCGAACGCGAAAGUCCUUCGGGAUGAGUAAAGUGGCGCACGGGUGAGUAACACGUAGGUGACCUGCCUUUUAGAGGGGAAUAACCAGAAGAAAUUUUGGCUAAUGCCGCAUACGAAGCGCAAAUAUAAUAGUAACGCUUGAAAGGAUGCCUCUGUAUAUGCAUCCACUAAAAGAUGGGCCUGCGGAACAUUAGCUAGUUGGUGGGGUAAAGGCCUACCAAGGCAACGAUGUUUAUCCGGUCUGAGAGGAUGAUCGGACACACUGGAACUGAGACACGGUCCAGACUCCUACGGGAGGCAGCAGUGGGGAAUAUUGCGCAAUGGGGGAAACCCUGACGCAGCAACGCCGCGUGAGUGAGGAAGGACUUCGGUCUGUAAAGCUCUGUUAAUGUGGAAAAAUGGCAGUUGGUCUAAUAGGCCGAUUGUUUGAUGGUACACAUAGAGGAAGCACCGGCUAACUUCGUGCCAGCAGCCGCGGUAAUACGAAGGGUGCAAGCGUUGUUCGGAUUUAUUGGGCGUAAAGCGCGCGUAGGCGGACCUGUAAGUCAGAUGUGAAAUCUCAGGGCUCAACCUCGAAACUGCGUCUGAAACUGCAGGUCUAGAAUCUUGGAGGGGGAAGGGGAAUUUCGCAUGUAGGGGUAAAAUCCGUAGAUAUGCGAAGGAACACCAGAGGCGAAGGCGCCUUCCUGGACAAGUAUUGACGCUGAGGCGCGAAAGCGUGGGGAUCAAACAGGAUUAGAUACCCUGGUAGUCCACGCUGUAAACGAUGAAUACUAGAUAUUGCAGACUUUGACCUCUGCAGUGUCGUAGCUAACGCGUUAAGUAUUCCGCCUGGGAAGUACGGUCGCAAGACUAAAACUCAAAGGAAUUGACGGGGGCCCGCACAAGCGGUGGAUGAUGUGGUUUAAUUCGAUGCAACGCGAAAAACCUUACCUACCUUUGACAUGUACGGAAUUCGCCAGAGAUGGCUUAGUGCUCGAAAGAGAACCGUAACACAGGUGCUGCAUGGCUGUCGUCAGCUCGUGUCGUGAGAUGUUGGGUUAAGUCCCGCAACGAGCGCAACCCUUGUCAUUAGUUGCUACAUUUAGUUGGGCACUCUAAUGAGACUGCCGGUGACAAACCGGAGGAAGGUGGGGAUGACGUCAAGUCCUCAUGGCCCUUAUAGGUAGGGCUACACACGUCAUACAAUGGCUGGUACAGAGGGUUGCCAACCCGCGAGGGGGAGCUAAUCCCAUAAAACCAGUCGUAGUCCGGAUCGUAGUCUGCAACUCGACUACGUGAAGUCGGAAUCGCUAGUAAUCGCGGAUCAGAAUGUCGCGGUGAAUACGUUCCCGGGUCUUGUACACACCGCCCGUCACACCAUGGGAGCGGGUUCUGCCAGAAGUAGUUAGCCUAACCGCAAGGAGGGCGAUUACCACGGCAGGGUUCGUGACUGGGGUGAAGUCGUAACAAGGUA
This 1509-nucleotide ribosomal RNA is filed under the name metagenome. RNAcentral's name for it is "bacterial SSU rRNA". It matches the Rfam family "Bacterial small subunit ribosomal RNA". The record is from RNAcentral.